RNAcentral lists this long non-coding RNA (799 nucleotides) under Ananas comosus (pineapple). RNAcentral describes it as "long non-coding RNA (ACOM_LNC002260)". The record is from RNAcentral. Lineage: Eukaryota; Viridiplantae; Streptophyta; Magnoliopsida; Poales; Bromeliaceae.
UGUGAUCUUAUAAUUUAAAAAAGGGAUAAUUGCCUAUAUACUCUUCAUACGUUUGAAAAUAUCCAAUUUACCCCUACUUUUUUUUCCUUUCUAAAAUAUCACUCAUAUGUUCCACCGCUAUUGCAAAAUAUCUCCGCAGUUAUCUCCUUUUAAGUUAACUUAGGUUAAACGUGAGUUAAACAUUUACCACAGUUAAAAAAAAUUAAAAUGCUAAUUUUGCCCUUAACUUAAGGGCAAAUAAGAAAUAUUGGUGACGGUAGAGGGAUAUAUUGAAAAAAACCAAAAGUCAAAAUACUUUUUGUGCCAUUGACUUUAAGGGCAAGUAAGAAAGUCAGUGAUGGUAGAAGGGUAUAUUUGAAAGGGCAAAAUAAUAAUUUUACAGAGAUAACAGAGUUCAUUAGCAGAUUUUAACUCUAGGGAUAUAUUAGAAAUAUAGGUUGGAACGUAGAAAGGGUAUUUUCAAUAUUAACCUUCUAAGAUGGGUAAAUCGAAAAAUCGAAAACUUUUCAGGAGUAUAUAAGCAAUUGCCCCAAAAUUAUAUGUAACUACUUUGUGCAAGGUUUAGCAUAUUUUUAUUUUGUCACUAUGUGAUUUAAAAGUUGUACUUAACUAUAUUGUGGUUAUUAAAAAUUUUACUUCGUUAUUUAUUCGAUUUAUUUGAUAUUAAAUUUUUUUUGAUCAAAAUAGAGAAAAAAAUAUAGAAUAAUUAAAUGUAACUUUUUUGAUGACAAAGUGAAAAUAAGCUAAACCAUGCGGGGGCAAAUUGAAGUCUAUGCUUAAUUUUUUAUAACAGUUAAAU